UGACAUCAUUGUUAACCAGCAAACAGGCUUCGGAUGCUCUUUGGAGACUGGGAAGCUCAAGUGCGGAGGAUAAUGAAGCUCAUUGCUGGAGGUGGCUUGUCCAUCACGGGCUCGCACAACAUGUGUGGGGACUAUCUGUACAGUGGACACACAGUCAUGCUAACGCUCACCUACCUGUUUAUCAAGGAGUAUUCCCCUCGGCGGCUCUGGUGGUACCACUGGAUUUGCUGGCUCCUCAGCGUCGUUGGAAUCUUCUGUAUUCUCUUAGCGCAUGACCACUACACUGUGGACGUGGUGGUAGCAUAUUACAUCACCACAAGACUCUUCUGGUGGUAUCACACGAUGGCCAAUCAGCAAGUGCUGAAGGAAGCUUCCCAGAUGAACCUCCUGG
Molecule: long non-coding RNA, 391 nt
Filed under: Rattus norvegicus (Norway rat)
Lineage: Eukaryota; Metazoa; Chordata; Mammalia; Rodentia; Muridae
Description: long non-coding RNA NONRATT003712
Source: RNAcentral